AUGGGCCACCGCGGCGCCGGCGAGCAGGAGCCGGAGACGGAGGAGGUGCAUGAGUCCGACUUCCUGAUCCUCUGCAUCGGCAGUUUCAGCGGCGUGCCCAACAUCCCAGCGGUGUCCCCAGGCCCGGAGGCGUUCCGCGGGCGGGUGCUCCACUGCAUGGAGCUCUCCCACAUGGCCGACGAGGACGCCGCCGCGCUGGUUAAGGGGAAGCGCAUCACCGUCGUGGGGUCCGGCAAGUCGGCCUUCGAGAUCGCCGCCGAGUGCGCCGAUGCCAAUGGCGCGGGAACGCCGUGCACGAUGCUGUGCCAGAACCCUCAUUGGCUGCUACCAUCGGGUACAUCUACAUGA
RNAcentral lists this ribosomal RNA (348 nucleotides) under Triticum aestivum (bread wheat). Its description in RNAcentral is "partial small subunit ribosomal RNA". The record is from RNAcentral. Lineage: Eukaryota; Viridiplantae; Streptophyta; Magnoliopsida; Poales; Poaceae.